UAUUGCUCUAUAAAAUAUGUGGGUAACCCUGCUGUAGGCCCUAGAAUUCUAAGAUCCGUUUAGAAUAGAUCAUGGUUUAGAUGAGUGGUGCACUGAUGUUGACAUACUGAGAUACUAGAAUCAUAGAAUGUGUUAUGACGCAAUGUCUGAUAAUCCCAUGUAGCAGAUUUAGGUGUGUCUUUGGGUCGUCUUGCUCUUAUUCAACUUCAUAGUUUAUUUCAUUUAUCAGGAGAUGAAACUGAAUCACAGAAAUAGUAGAGGGUUGUUUUACAAUGAGGGA
Molecule: long non-coding RNA, 280 nt
Organism: Sphaeramia orbicularis (orbiculate cardinalfish)
Lineage: Eukaryota; Metazoa; Chordata; Actinopteri; Kurtiformes; Apogonidae
Exons: 3
Source: RefSeq, a predicted model, not a curated record